AUUUACUCUAAUAUGCAGUGCUGUUGUCCUGCAUUCUUCUGUGCGAAUCCUACCAAUGCUACAGCAGAUGUGCAAAGGAUUGGAGCUCUAUGGCCUCCAUGAAAUGUUGAAACAAAAUCAGUCUUUAUUUCAGCCUUUAUUUGUUCCUGGCCAUUUUACAAAACCUGAUACGGAUUUUCUCACGAUGGCCCUGUCACCCAUUUUAAGUGAGGUGGGUUCAGUAAAAAGGCAGAGGGAAUCAAGAAUUGUGAACUACUUGCAGGACUUCAUUCAAAGCCUUUAAGACGAAGAAGAAGGGAGCAGUGGUAACAAGAGCAGAGGAGAGGAUGACAAUGAACAGGUAGAUGAAACGGAGGACUGCACUAAAGGAGACGCAGAACAAGACCAGAUCAUCGUCAGCAGCUUCAUGCAGUGGCUUACUGGUCAGGAACAUGUUCCCAUUACUUCUGCACAAAGAGAAUUUUUUUUAAAUAUACAUAGAAUUUGAUCAUGACUGUCAGCUACGAUAUGGUGAGCACAAUUUAUGCUACCCUCUUGUAAAUGCAUGUUCCUGUACUGUGACCUUGCCUACACAACCCCUAGGGACUUACACAGAGUUCCUUGACAUUAUGAGGCAGGCUGUGAGCAAUAGCAGAGAAUUUGGUCGUUCAUGAGAUGGAUUCCUAAUAUAGAGUUUACUCCCUGUACUGUGUUCUCUCUGUUACUGGUUUAGUGUAGUAUUUUAAAAGGAUAGGGAUGCAGUAGCUUUUGGAUAUUUAAAUUUAGUUUAUUUUUUUAUUUAGUUUUGUUUAUCAUUGACAUGUAUUGCAAAACAUGCAGCAAAGACUGCUGCAAAAUUGUUCCAAGACUCAAUUCAGAAAUGAAAAUGAUGUACAUCAAUAUACAGUAAGCUUCAAUGCAAAAUAAAGCCGCUAUGCAGU
This is a long non-coding RNA of Rhinichthys klamathensis goyatoka, 920 nucleotides long. RefSeq lists it as uncharacterized. NCBI's taxonomy places the organism in Eukaryota, Metazoa, Chordata, Actinopteri, Cypriniformes, Leuciscidae. The transcript has 3 exons. The record is from RefSeq and is a predicted model, not a curated record.